Musca domestica (house fly) is the source of this 426-nucleotide long non-coding RNA. RefSeq lists it as uncharacterized. The transcript has 2 exons. NCBI's taxonomy places the organism in Eukaryota, Metazoa, Arthropoda, Insecta, Diptera, Muscidae. The record is from RefSeq and is a predicted model, not a curated record.
AUUUCGUAGCUACCCUAUCGCCAUCAACAAGGUCCAUAAUAAAUAUUGGAAAUUUUAGGAAAAAUGGUGGCAAAAUGAAGCGACUAUAAAAAGGGGGAAAAUAGGAAAAUUGGCAACAUAGUGUUGCAAAAGAUCUAAGCAAGAAGACGGUCCAAAGUAGUUUUUAACACUAAAAAAAAGUGAAUAUUUAUAUGUGUGUUUACUUGUUAACAAAAAGUUCCCCAAAAUCACAAUAUUUUUUUUGGUCUCCACUGACUGCUGAGUGGGGAUCUGGUGUUAAAUGCCCGGUCCUUGGGUUUAAAUUGGCCGUUGAAUUUGAAGGUCUCCCUGUUUGGUGUCAUACUUCUGUUUGGUGUCCGUAUCUGAGGCAGCGGAAUUUGGGUCAAAAUUGAUCGGAUGGCCACAAGUUGGAGAUUUUUUUUUGAU